This 494-nucleotide ribosomal RNA is filed under the name uncultured bacterium. Its description in RNAcentral is "partial 16S ribosomal RNA". It matches the Rfam family "Bacterial small subunit ribosomal RNA", at positions 28 to 507 of the family's 1533-position model. The record is from RNAcentral.
GACGAACGCUGGCGGCGUGCCUAAUACAUGCAAGUCGAGCGGACUUAAAAAGCUUGCUUUUUAAGUUAGCGGCGGACGGGUGAGUAACACGUGGGCAACCUGCCUGUAAGACUGGGAUAACUUCGGGAAACCGGAGCUAAUACCGGAUAAUCCUUUUCUACUCAUGUAGAAAAGCUGAAAGACGGUUUACGCUGUCACUUACAGAUGGGCCCGCGGCGCAUUAGCUAGUUGGUGAGGUAACGGCUCACCAAGGCGACGAUGCGUAGCCGACCUGAGAGGGUGGUGGGCCCGCCUGGACCUGCGACGAGGCCCAGAUUCCUAGUGGGGGGGACAGUGGGGAAUUUUCCGCAUUGGACGAAAGUGUUACGGAGAAACGCGGCGUGAGUGCUGAUGAUUUUCGGAUCGUAAAACUCUGUUUUGAGGGAAGAACAAGUACGGGCGUAACUUUUAGUAACUUGACGGUACCUAACCAGAAGGCCACGGUUAACUACGUG